This 602-nucleotide long non-coding RNA is filed under the name Gallus gallus (chicken). Its description in RNAcentral is "long non-coding RNA NONGGAT002351". The record is from RNAcentral. Lineage: Eukaryota; Metazoa; Chordata; Aves; Galliformes; Phasianidae.
AUUUUCCUUGCUAUCAUGCUGGAAUGCUUUAGAAGGAUCAAAGUGCCUAAUGCCCUGAAUUGUAUAUAGUUGCUCCUGCAGAUCUCUGUUUGUUUGUUUCUCUUUUGCAAGAAGUGCACGCAGUUUUGAGAUGUCCUGAAGAAAACAAUACUCAGAAGUUAGAUUAAAAAAAAGAAGGAAAGAUGCCUCUGUAUAUUGUGUAUCCAACACCAACAGAUGCCCUUGCUGUUCUGGAGACUGAUGACUUACUCUAAUGCAGCUCAUGCAGGGAAAUUAACAACUAUGGAAAGCAGUGAGUUUGCAGAAUUAGCCUCCAAGUAUCUGCAGGAUUUAGCAGAAGAAAGCAAUCAAGCAAGCAACUGAAUUCUCCAUUUUUUGACUUCUUAUUUGACAAACCUGCUGCAGAUAGGACAGAUGAAGACCAGCUUUACUGUUGUGCUUUAUUGAAUGGACAGCUCCCAGCCAUUGUGAUGAGAAGGAGAUUGAGAAAGCAUCAGACAUACACAUCUCUUCAGCUACAUAACAACACAUUAACCUCUUCAAUGCAGCUGGGCUCACAAAGCUUCUUCCUAUAUCAUAAGUACUAAUAAACUGAAUUACUC